This 249-nucleotide long non-coding RNA is filed under the name Pan troglodytes (chimpanzee). RNAcentral's name for it is "long non-coding RNA NONPTRT014788". Lineage: Eukaryota; Metazoa; Chordata; Mammalia; Primates; Hominidae. The record is from RNAcentral.
GGUAGUCUCCAUCCCAACCUGGUUGUGCUUCUCUUGCACGCAGGCUCCCCUUCCUCUGCCAUUAUGGAAAAGUUCACCGAAGGCUGGAUUGGGUGGUCAUUAUGAGUGAAGGUUUUUGAGUCAGAUUGUCUCCUUUUUUUCCUUUCUUUUUUUGAGACAAGAUCUUGCUCUGUUUUGCCCAGUAAUUACAGUUUUUGCCAUCACUUAAUGGCAAAACUGCAAUUACUUUUGAACCAACCUAAUAAUUAG